RNAcentral lists this ribosomal RNA (426 nucleotides) under uncultured bacterium. Its description in RNAcentral is "bacterial SSU rRNA". It matches the Rfam family "Bacterial small subunit ribosomal RNA", at positions 28 to 448 of the family's 1533-position model. The record is from RNAcentral.
GAUGAACGCUGGCGGCGUGCCUAAUACAUGCAAGUCGAACGAAGAGUAUUGACUUCGGUUAAACACUCUUAGUGGCGAACGGGUGAGUAACGCGUUGGUGACCUGCCCCGAAGUGGGGGACAACAGCUCGAAAGGGCUGCUAAUACCCCAUGUGGUGCCAGAGGUUAGAGGCUUUGGCAAGAAAGGAGUAAUCCGCUUCGGGAGGGGCCUGCGUCCCAUCAGCUAGUUGGUAGGGUAACGGCCUACCAAGGCGAAGACGGGUAGGGGGCCUGAGAGGGUGACCCCCCACAAUGGAACUGAAACACGGUCCAUACACCUACGGGUGGCAGCAGUAGGGAAUAUUGCACAAUGGGCGAAAGCCUGAUGCAGCAACGCCGCGUGUGCGAUGAAGGCCUUCGGGUUGUAAAGCACUUUUCGGGGAGAUGA